Oreochromis aureus is the source of this 1041-nucleotide long non-coding RNA. NCBI's taxonomy places the organism in Eukaryota, Metazoa, Chordata, Actinopteri, Cichliformes, Cichlidae. The record is from Ensembl.
CUGGAGGCCAAGGUAAUGCCAUCCAGAGUAAGAAUCUGCUUAGAUACCAUAUUUCUAAGAUUUUCAGGGCCGAGUACAAUAACCUCAGUUUGAUCUGAAUUAAGAAGCAGAAAGUUAGCGGCCAUCCAGGUCUUUAUGUCUUUAAGACAUUCCUGCAGUUUAACUAAUUGGUGUGUGUUACCUGGCUUCAUGGAUAGAUAGAGCUGGGUGUCAUCUGCAUAGCAGUGAAAAUGUAUGCUAUGUCUUCUAAUGAUGCUGCCUAAGGGAAGCAUGUAUAAUGUAAACAGAAUUGGUCCUAGCACUGAACCCUGUGGAACACCAUAAUUGACCUUAGUGUGUGAAGAGGACUCUCCAUUUACAUGAACAAAUUGGAGUCUAUUAGAUAGAUAUGAUACAAACCACUGCAGUGCAGUACCUGUAAUACCUACAGCAUGUUCUAAUCGCUCUAAUAGGAUAUUAUGAUCAACAGUAUCGAACGCUGCACUGAGGUCUAGCAGGACAAGCACAGAGAUGAGUCCACUGUCAGAGGCCAUAAGAAGAUCAUUUGUAACCUUCACUAAAGCUGUUUCUGUGCUGUGAUGAGCUCUGAAACCUGACUGAAACUCUUCAAAUAAGCCAUUCCUCUGCAGAUGAUCUGUUAGCUGUUUGACAACUACUCUUUCAAGGAUGUUUGAUAUGAAAGGAAGGUUGGAGAUUGGCCUAUAAUUAGCUAAGACAGCUGGGUCUAGAGAUGCUUUUUAAGUAAAGGUUUAACUACAGCCAGCUUGAAGGCCUGUGGUACAUAGCUGAUUAUUAGAGAUAGGUUGAUCAUAUUUAAGAUUAAAGCAUUAAUUAAUGGCAGGACUUCUUUGAGCAGUUUUGUAGGAAUGGGGUCUAAAAGACACGUUGAUGGUUUGGAGGAAGUAAUUAUUGAAGUUAACUCAGAAAGAUCAAUUGGAGAAAAAGAGUCUAACUUAACAUCGAUGGUACUAAAAGUAGCUGUAGAUAAUAUUACAUCUGUGGGAUGAUUAUUGGUAAUUUUUUCUCUAAUGAUAAAAAUUU